Molecule: ribosomal RNA, 468 nt
Filed under: uncultured bacterium
Lineage: Bacteria
Description: partial 16S ribosomal RNA
Rfam family: Bacterial small subunit ribosomal RNA
Source: RNAcentral
GACGAACGCUGGCGGCGUGCUUAACACAUGCAAGUCGAACGGAAAGGCCCUGCUUUUGUGGGGUGCUCGAGUGGCGAACGGGUGAGUAACACGUGAGUAACCUGCCCUUGACUUUGGGAUAACUUCAGGAAACUGGGGCUAAUACCGGAUAGGAGCUCCUGCUGCAUGGUGGGGGUUGGAAAGUUUCGGCGGUUGGGGAUGGACUCGCGGCUUAUCAGCUUGUUGGUGGGGUAGUGGCUUACCAAGGCUUUGACGGGUAGCCGGCCUGAGAGGGUGACCGGCCACAUUGGGACUGAGAUACGGCCCAGAAUCCUACGGGAGGCAGCAGUGGGGAAUAUUGCACAAUGGGCGGAAGCCUGAUGCAGCAACGCCGCGUGCGGGAUGACGGCCUUCGGGUUGUGAACCGCUUUCGACUGUGACGAAGCGUGAGUGACGGUAAUGGGUAAAGAAGCACCGGCUAACUACGUG